AAGGACCAGACCCAGCGGCUUCCUUGAAAUGCCCCCUUCCCACAGGUUCCACAGCCAGGUGUUCUGCAAGGCGAAUUAGAAGAACCUGACUUGUAUGGCUUCACUCUCUCUCUGCUGCAUCUUUUACACAGUUACCAGAGGUCAGCCAUCAGCCAGCCAGCACCAUACAUGAGAGUGAGUCCAGAGAAGAUAAAUAGAGUGACCUAGCCACCCUGCAGCUGACCGUUGACAACUCAGUGAACCCAGCCCAGAUCAGGAAAAACUGAACAUUUGGCCUGAAGGUCUUUGAGAGACAGAAGCAGAGGGGCUCUGUGUCCUGGAACCCCUGCCCAGUGACUAGAAAUCCCUGGGAUUCUUCUGACCUUUCUGUGGCUUUAUUGUUGUUUUUUUCCCCUGCAUUUGCCCUUUGUGGUGACUGGCUUGGCCAUGGGAAUUUACCAGGGGCAUUCUGCAAGGAGUGGCAUGUUUUCUGAUUGUUAGGGGCAUCAGGAUUGCAAAAUUUGCAAAGUCUUUAUUUGCUAAAGUGACUAAGUGGUAGAAUAAGCCUUAGAUUCAAGACCAAACGAUGUCAUUUUCUACCUGUUUGGCCUGAAUAAAAUUCACCUCUCUGAGCCUCAGUUUCCUCAUGUGCAAAUUGGGAGAAAUGUGUGAUCUAUCUCAUAAGAUUGUUUGCCAUCCGAAAAGAAUAUGUUUGAAAUGCUAUAUCCAAGCGUAUGACAGUUAGGAUUAUUAUUUGUCACAGAUAAAGGAUUAGAUUCUCACAUGAAAUACUAGCUCUGUGGCUUUGGACAAGUGACUUAACCUUAUUAAGACUCAGUAU
Molecule: long non-coding RNA, 820 nt
Filed under: Equus caballus (horse)
Lineage: Eukaryota; Metazoa; Chordata; Mammalia; Perissodactyla; Equidae
Description: lncRNA (ENSECAG00000051313.1)
Source: RNAcentral